UGGGGAAUUUUCCGCAAUGGGCGAAAGCCUGACGGAGCAAGACCGCGUGAGGGAGGAAGGCUCUUGGGUUGUAAACCUCUUUUCUCAGGGAAGAACAAAAUGACGGUACCUGAGGAAUCAGCCUCGGCUAACUCCGUGCCAGCAGCCGCGGUAAUACGGAGGAGGCAAGCGUUAUCCGGAAUUAUUGGGCGUAAAGCGUCCGCAGGUGGCUCGCUCAAGUCUGCUGUCAAAGACCGGGGCUUAACUCCGGAAAGGCAGUGGAAACUGACAAGCUAGAGGGCUCUAGGGGUAGAGGGAAUUCCCGGUGUAGCGGUGAAAUGCGUAGAGAUCGGGAAGAACAUCGGUGGCGAAAAGCGCUCUACUGGAGAGCAACUGACACUCAGGGACGAAAGCUAGGGGAGCGAAUGGGAUUAGAUACCCCAGUAGUCCUAGCCGUAAACGAUGGAUACUAGGCGUGGCUCGUAUCGACCCGAGCCGUGCCGUAGCUAACGCGUUAAGUAU
RNAcentral lists this ribosomal RNA (501 nucleotides) under uncultured cyanobacterium. RNAcentral's name for it is "bacterial SSU rRNA". It matches the Rfam family "Bacterial small subunit ribosomal RNA", at positions 355 to 867 of the family's 1533-position model. The record is from RNAcentral. Lineage: Bacteria; Bacillati; Cyanobacteriota.